Molecule: ribosomal RNA, 244 nt
Filed under: uncultured bacterium
Lineage: Bacteria
Description: partial 16S ribosomal RNA
Rfam family: Bacterial small subunit ribosomal RNA
Source: RNAcentral
UAGAGCCUACGGGGCGCAGCAGUGGGGAAUAUUGCACAAUGGGGGGAACCCUGAUGCAGCGACGCCGCGUGGGUGAAGGAGCACCUCGGUGCGUAAAGCCCUAUCGGCAGGGAAGAAACAGACGGUACCUGACUAAGAAGCCCCGGCUAACUACGUGCCAGCAGCCGCGGUAAUACGUAGGGGGCAAGCGUUAUCCGGAUUCAUUGGGCGUAAAGCGCGCGCAGGCGGGGCGCUAAGCGGGACC